Molecule: long non-coding RNA, 1566 nt
Organism: Cavia porcellus (domestic guinea pig)
Lineage: Eukaryota; Metazoa; Chordata; Mammalia; Rodentia; Caviidae
Exons: 3
Source: RefSeq, a predicted model, not a curated record
CUCUCCCUGAGCUGGGGCCAGUGCAUUGGAACUCACCUUGUGCAGCUUCAGCUCCCUGGAUUGAGAGAACAUUCCUGGGUGUGGCCCAGUUAGACCCAGUGAAGCCUGCAUAGCCUAGUCAAGUGUGGCUGGAAGCUGGGCCAGCACUUAACUGGUAGUUGCCGUGAUCUUAAACUCUCCCUGGGCCCACUCCGGUGUGCUGGAACUCACCUCGUGCAGCCUCAGCUCCCCAGAUUGAAAGCUGUAUACCCAAUAUUCAAGAUAUGCACAGAGUGGUUGACUUCAAAACUCAGAGCUUUUAACAUCAAGAAGUUCUGCCUGGAAGUGACAAGUGCUGGGCAGAAUUCACCUGUGGUAUCCAGCACAGUCUGGCACCAGAAUGUAGUGAGUGGCAGCAGCAGAGAACCAGCACCUGGUAGAGUCAACCUGACGUGUCCACCAUAAGCUGGCACUGGAUGAUGAUGGCCAACAGUAGUGGUUACCAGAAGAUGGCUGUCAAAUGGGAACCAGAAAUCUGAGCAUCUCCUGGGAGGUUGACCAUAGCAAUAAGGGGGAUUUCCUUCUGCCAUAUUUUUGAAGGCAAGUAUUUUAUUACUCUUUUGCUGUAUUCUGAUUAAUGGUACUGCUCUAUUCAUUAUUCUGUUUAGAUAAGUUCUAUAAUGUUCUGUAUUUCAUUUUAUUUUGAUAUAUGUGAUUGAAAGAACUACUAUUGUAAAGAUAAUGAAGUAUACUGUGAUACCUAUUACUGUUAUCCAGGUAACCUGCCAUGAAGUUCUGUACCAAUUUCACUGUAUGAUCAUAGUUGGCUUUAUUCUGUCUUGUUCUGUUGUGUUUUACUACUUUCAAAAUAAAAUUAAAAAAAAAAAAAAAGACCUUUAUGCUCUCCGCUUCAAGGUUAAGUGCUCAGUGCAGAAGUAAAUUGAUAAAAUUUCCUAGUGUAGCCUUUCUUUGCACUUCAUUAGUUAUCAGGUAGUUGUUUGUUUCUUUUGCAAAUAUAUAUGAUUAUUACCUGCUUUACACAAGCAUUUUUUAAAAAAGUUUCGCUCUCCUUCACAUACUGUGCUACAGCCAACAAGCCAGAAAAUGUGAUUGCUAGUUAGGACAUAAUUAUCCCAAACUCUGCCCGCAGACAUUCUUUGCUGAAUGAAUUUUGAAUUUUCUGAAUAAGCCGGUCAUGUCAGAAAAAACUGAAACAACUACUAAUAUCUAAACAUUUACAACAAAAUGAUCUUUAUGAUUUCAAUAAUCUUAGGACAAGUAAAAAACAUUCUGGUGCCUCUCAAAAGCCUAAAAGUGAAAAAUACGUUAAUGCAUAUUUUGUAUUUAAAAGCAAACUUGACACUACAGGAAAAAUUCAGUAAAACUCAAAUGACAAUGAUGUAAAAAUUUAUUUUUCUUACAUUGGUGAUGAAACAAAUCCUCACUUUAUGCAGCCAAAAAAAAAAAAAAAAAAAAAGGAGAGAGAGAAAAAUCUAGUAAGGAUUAAGUAAAGAAUUCCAAUGUACAUUUUUCAAUUCUUCUGCAGUAUAAAUGAACACAUUUGAUUAACUUUCAGUUUUAGAAGGC